CCGGCGGUGUGCCUAAUACAUGCAAGUCGUACGCACUGGCCCAACUGAUUGAUGGUGCUUGCACCUGAUUGACGAUGGAUCACCAGUGAGUGGCGGACGGGUGAGUAACACGUAGGUAACCUGCCCCGGAGCGGGGGAUAACAUUUGGAAACAGAUGCUAAUACCGCAUAACAACAAAAGCCACAUGGCUUUUGUUUGAAAGAUGGCUUUGGCUAUCACUCUGGGAUGGACCUGCGGUGCAUUAGCUAGUUGGUAAGGUAACGGCUUACCAAGGCGAUGAUGCAUAGCCGAGUUGAGAGACUGAUCGGCCACAAUGGGACUGAGACACGGCCCAAACUCCUACGGGAGGCAGCAGUGGGGAAUAUUGGACAAUGGGGGAAACCCUGAUCCAGCGACGCCGCGUGAGCGAAGAAGUAUUUCGGUAUGUAAAGCUCUAUCAGCAGGGAAGAAGAAAUGACGGUACCUGACUAAGAAGCCCCGGCUAACUACGUG
Molecule: ribosomal RNA, 492 nt
Filed under: uncultured bacterium
Lineage: Bacteria
Description: bacterial SSU rRNA
Rfam family: Bacterial small subunit ribosomal RNA
Source: RNAcentral